GAUGAACGCUGGCGGCGUGCCUAACACAUGCAAGUCGAGCGAUUCUCUUCGGAGAAGAGCGGCGGACGGGUGAGUAACGCGUGGGUAACCUGCCCUGUACACACGGAUAACAUACCGAAAGGUAUGCUAAUACGAGAUAAUAUGCCUUUAUCGCAUGGUAGAAGUAUCAAAGCUCCGGCGGUACAGGAUGGACCCGCGUCUGAUUAGCUAGUUGGUAAGGUAACGGCUUACCAAGGCGACGAUCAAGUAGCCGACCUGAGAGGGUGAUCGGCCACAUUGGAACUGAGACACGGUCCAAACUCCUACGGGAGGCAGCAGUGGGGAAUAUUGCACAAUGGGCGAAAGCCUGAUGCAGCAACGCCGCGUGAGCGAUGAAGGCCUUCGGGUCGUAAAGCUCUGUCCUCAAGGAAGAUAAUGACGGUACUUGAGGAGGAAGCCCCGGCUAACUACGUGCCAGCCGCCGCAGUAA
This 469-nucleotide ribosomal RNA is filed under the name uncultured bacterium. Its description in RNAcentral is "partial 16S ribosomal RNA". It matches the Rfam family "Bacterial small subunit ribosomal RNA", at positions 28 to 523 of the family's 1533-position model. The record is from RNAcentral.